AAAGUCUGGCUCUCCUACAGUUGACCGCGUAAAUCUUUCGCCUUUUACUAAAGAUUUCCGUGUAGGAGAGCAUUGAAGAUAUUCCAUGAAUUUUUGGAAGUCCCUUAGGGGACA
This 114-nucleotide small nuclear RNA is filed under the name Thelazia callipaeda (thelaziosis nematode). Its description in RNAcentral is "U5 spliceosomal RNA". It matches the Rfam family "U5 spliceosomal RNA". From Rfam's summary of the family: U5 RNA is a component of both types of known spliceosome. The precise function of this molecule is unknown, though it is known that the 5' loop is required for splice site selection and p220 binding, and that both the 3' stem-loop and the Sm site are important for Sm protein binding and cap methylation. The record is from Rfam by way of RNAcentral. Lineage: Eukaryota; Metazoa; Nematoda; Chromadorea; Rhabditida; Thelaziidae.